RNAcentral lists this ribosomal RNA (490 nucleotides) under uncultured bacterium. RNAcentral's name for it is "partial 16S ribosomal RNA". It matches the Rfam family "Bacterial small subunit ribosomal RNA", at positions 29 to 505 of the family's 1533-position model. The record is from RNAcentral.
AGUGAGCGCUGGCGGUAGGCCUAACACAUGCAAGUCGAACGGCAGCACAGUAAGAGCUUGCUCUUACGGGUGGCGAGUGGCGGACGGGUGAGGAAUACAUCGGAAUCUACUUUUUCGUGGGGGAUAACGUAGGGAAACUUACGCUAAUACCGCAUACGACCUACGGGUGAAAGCAGGGGAUCUUCGGACCUUGCGCGAUUGAAUGAGCCGAUGUCGGAUUAGCUAGUUGGCGGGGUAAAGGCCCACCAAGGCGACGAUCCGUAGCUGGUCUGAGAGGAUGAUCAGCCACACUGGAACUGAGACACGGUCCAGACUCCUACGGGAGGCAGCAGUGGGGAAUAUUGGACAAUGGGCGCAAGCCUGAUCCAGCCAUACCGCGUGGGUGAAGAAGGCCUUCGGGUUGUAAAGCCCUUUUGUUGGGAAAGAAAAGCAGCAGGUUAAUACCCCGCUGUUCUGACGGUACCCAAAGAAUAAGCACCGGCUAACUUCG